This 563-nucleotide long non-coding RNA is filed under the name Anser brachyrhynchus (Pink-footed goose). Its description in RNAcentral is "lncRNA (ENSABRG00000004001.1)". The record is from RNAcentral. Lineage: Eukaryota; Metazoa; Chordata; Aves; Anseriformes; Anatidae.
CGGCGCUGCCGGCGGGCAUCCCGGGGCACUUUCACUGACCCCCUGCGGCGGGACCAGGAGCAAUCGCACCACCCAAAAGCAGAAAACACCUGCACGGGCUGUCCGCCCCUCUCCCCGACCGGGGUCCUGAGCCGGCCGGCUGCCCUCAGGGUUCUGGAAAGAGGUGCAUGAGACGUCCCAGUGAGCCCCGGUUAUGGAAUUGGAAACCAUCAUUUCCGUAGGCGUACAGGUACAUAUAUGAAGCCAGCAACGAUCUGAAGCCCAGCAGGAGAAAAACAACGUGUAAAGACACCAUGGAUAAUCACAAGGUCUUCUGUGGCUUCAUCAUCUUUCUUCAGAUCGCCGACUUAUCGCGGGAGUCCGCCUACAAUUUCAGCCUCUGUAACCACGACGAGAUACGGGAGGAUCUCCUAAACGUUUUGGAUGCGCACAUGACCUUAAACGAGGGGCUACAGCUCGAUUUUCACACCUGCGAGGACGCGCCCGAGGGGCCGGAGCAGUCCGAGGUUCGCCAGGGUGAACGCAGCCCCCCGACGGCUAGGUGGCAUUCCCUUUCCGUGAAA